This 788-nucleotide ribosomal RNA is filed under the name uncultured archaeon. RNAcentral's name for it is "bacterial SSU rRNA". It matches the Rfam family "Archaeal small subunit ribosomal RNA", at positions 85 to 876 of the family's 1478-position model. The record is from RNAcentral.
ACUGCUCAGUAACACGUGGAUAACCUGCCCAAGGGUCCGGGAUAACCCCGGGAAACUGGGGAUAAUACCGGAUGGAUCACUAGUGCUGGAAUGCUUGGUGGUCGAAAGGUAACGCCUUUGGAUGGGUCUGCGGCGGAUUAGGUUGACGCCGGUGUAACGUACCGGCGUGCCUGUAAUCCGUACGGGUUGUGGGAGCAAGAGCCCGGAGAUGGAUUCUGAGACACGAAUCCAGGCCCUACGGGGCGCAGCAGGCGCGAAAACUCUACAAUGCAGGCAACUGCGAUAGGGGGACAUCGAGUGGCAUCCACCUUGGGUGCCUGUCCAACCGUCUAAAAAACGGUUGUUAGCAAGGGCCGGGUAAGACCGGUGCCAGCCGCCGCGGUAAUACCGGCGGCUCGAGUGGUGGCCGAUAUUAUUGAGUCUAAAGGGUCCGUAGCCGGCUUUGCAAGUCCCCUGGGAAAUCCAGCGGCUUAACCGUUGGGCUUUCAUGGGAUACUACAUUGCUUGGGACUGGGAGAGGUAGGAGGUACUCGGGGGGUAGGGGUGAAAUCCUGUAAUCCUCCGGGGACCACCGGUGGCGAAGGCGUCCUACCAGAACAGGUCCGACGGUGAGGGACGAAAGCUAGGGGCACGAACCGGAUUAGAUACCCGGGUAGUCCUAGCCGUAAACGAUGCCCGCUAGGUGUCACGACGGUCGUGAAUCGUCGUGGUGCCGUAGGGAAGCCGCGAAGCGGGCCACUUGGGAAGUACGGCCGCAAGGCUGAAACUUAAAGGAAUUGGCGGGGGAG